RNAcentral lists this unclassified non-coding RNA (239 nucleotides) under plant metagenome. Its description in RNAcentral is "partial contains small subunit ribosomal RNA, internal transcribed spacer 1, and 5.8S ribosomal RNA". The record is from RNAcentral.
UUUCCGUAGGUGAACCUGCGGAAGGAUCAUUACUGAGUUAGGGUCUUUAUGGCCCGACCUCCAACCCUUUGUUUAAUCUACCAUGUUGCUUUGGCAGGCCCGCUAGAAAUGGGCCGCCGGGGACCUUUGAGUCUCUGGUCAGUGCCUGCCAGUAGCCUUUCUAAAUUCAUUUAUAACCGUGUAUGAAUAUACAAAGAAAAAUUAAAAUAAAACUUUCAACAACGGAUCUCUUGGUUCUG